CUGAUCAGCAACGCCGCGUGGAGGAUGAAGGUCUUCGGAUCGUAAACUCCUGUCAGGCGGGACGAAGGUUGCGAGGCAAAUAGUCUCGUAACUUGACGGUACUGCCAGAGGAAGCCCCGGCUAACUCCGUGCCAGCAGCCGCGGUAAUACGGAGGGGGCGAGCGUUAUUCGGAAUUAUUGGGCGUAAAGGGCGCGUAGGCGGCCCGGUAAGUCAAAGGUGAAAUCCCUCGGCUCAACUGAUGAACUGCCUUUGAAACUGUCGGACUUGAGGCCGGGAGGGGGUAGCGGAAUUCCCAGUGUAGCGGUGAAAUGCCUAAAUAUUGGGAGGAACACCGGUGGCGAAGGCGGCUACCUGGACCGGUUCUGACGCUGAUGCGCGAAAGCGUGGGUAGCAAACAGGAUUAGAUACCCUGGUAGUCCACGCUGUAAACGAUGAGUGCUCGGUGUCGCGGGUAUCGACCCCUGCGGUGCCUUAACUAACGCGUUAAGCACUCCGCCUGGGGAGUACGGUCGCAAGGCUGAAACUC
RNAcentral lists this ribosomal RNA (527 nucleotides) under uncultured bacterium. RNAcentral's name for it is "bacterial SSU rRNA". It matches the Rfam family "Bacterial small subunit ribosomal RNA", at positions 383 to 902 of the family's 1533-position model. The record is from RNAcentral.